UACGGGGGGGGCAAGCGUUGUUCGGAAUUACUGGGCGUAAAGGGCUUGUAGGCGGCCAACUAAGUCAGACGUGAAAUCCCUCGGCUUAACCGGGGAACUGCGUCUGAUACUGGAUGGCUAGAGUGUGGGAGAGGGAUGCGGAAUUCCAGGUGUAGCGGUGAAAUGCGUAGAUAUCUGGAGGAACACCGGUGGCGAAGGCGGCAUCCUGGACCACGACUGACGCUGAGUGAGCGAAAGCCAGGGGAGCAAACGGG
RNAcentral lists this ribosomal RNA (254 nucleotides) under uncultured bacterium. RNAcentral's name for it is "partial 16S ribosomal RNA". It matches the Rfam family "Bacterial small subunit ribosomal RNA", at positions 524 to 776 of the family's 1533-position model. The record is from RNAcentral.